AUGGAUUUACUUGGACCAAUACAGGAGAUUCUUAUGCUAUUUGGGGGAUUUGUUCUUCUACUAUGGGGUAUAGGAGUAGUAUUACUUACCAACCCCAUUUAUUCUUCCUUUUCGCUGGGAUUAGUUCUUGUUUGUAUAUCCUUAUUCUAUGUUUUAUUAAAUUCCAACUUUGUAGCUGUCGCACAACUUCUUAUUUAUGUGGGAGCCAUAAAUGUCUUGAUCAUAUUCGCUGUAAUGUUCGUAAAUGGCUCAUAA
RNAcentral lists this ribosomal RNA (255 nucleotides) under Triticum aestivum (bread wheat). RNAcentral describes it as "partial small subunit ribosomal RNA". Lineage: Eukaryota; Viridiplantae; Streptophyta; Magnoliopsida; Poales; Poaceae. The record is from RNAcentral.